RNAcentral lists this non-coding RNA (101 nucleotides) under Thalassiosira oceanica. The record is from RNAcentral. Lineage: Eukaryota; Bacillariophyta; Thalassiosirophyceae; Thalassiosirales; Thalassiosiraceae.
GAACGAUACACCUCCUCGUUUAACGAGAACGACUUGAAUGAGGCAAUGGGAAAGCAAAGCGCGAAAGCUGAUGAAACGGCAGAUCCAAACGACGAAACGCC